AAGGCAUCUUUUUAUUUUUAAAAGACCUAGCAAUAGGUAUGCUUAGGGAAGAGCUUGCGUCACAUUAGUUAGUUGGUGGGGUAAUGGCCUACCAAGACGAUGAUGUGUAGCCGGGCUGAGAGGUCGAACGGCCACAUUGGGACUGAGACACGGCCCAAACUCCUACGGGAGGCAGCAGUAAGGAAUUUUCGGCAAUGGAGGAAACUCUGACCGAGCAAUGCCGCGUGAACGAUGAAGUAUUUCGGUACGUAAAGUUCUUUUAUUAGGGAAGAAAAGAUGGUGGAAAAACCAUUAUGACGGUACCUAAUGAAUAAGCCCCGGCUAACUAUGUGCCAGCAGCCGCGGUAAUACAUAGGGGGCAAGCGUUAUCCGGAAUUAUUGGGCGUAAAGGGUGCGUAGGCGGUUAAAUAAGUUUAUGGUCUAAGUGCAACGCUCAACGUUGUGAUGCUAUAAAAACUGUUUAGCUAGAGUUGGAUAGAGGCAAGUGGAAUUCCGUGUGUAGUGGUAAAAUGCGUAAAUAUACGGAGGAACACCAGAAGCGAAGGCGGCUUGCUGGGUCUUAACUGACGCUGAGGCACGAAAGCGUGGGGAGCAAACAGGAUUAGAUACCCUGGUAGUCCACGCCCUAAACGAUGAGUACUAAACGUUGGAUAAAACCAGUGUUGAAGUUAACACAUUAAGUACUCCGCCUGAGUAGUACGUACGCAAGUAUGAAACUUAAAGGAAUUGACGGGACUCCGCACAAGCGGUGGAUCAUGUUGUUUAAUUCGAAGGUACCCGAAAAACCUCACCAGGUCUUGACAUGCUUUUGCAAAGCUGUAGAAAUACAGUGGAGGUUAUCAGAAGCACAGGUGGUGCAUGGUUGUCGUCAGCUCGUGUCGUGAGAUGUUGGGUUAAGUCCCGCAACGAGCGCAACCCUUGUUGUUAAUUGCCAUCAUUAAGUUGGGGACUUUAGCAAGACUGCCAAUGAUAAAUUGGAGGAAGGUGGGGACGACGUCAAAUCAUCAUGCCCCUUAUGACCUGGGCUACAAACGUGAUACAAUGGCUGUUACAAAGGGUAGCUAAAGCGUAAGCUUCUGGCGAAUCUCAAAAAAGCAGUCUCAGUUCGGAUUGAAGUCUGCAACUCGACUUCAUGAAGUUGGAAUCGCUAGUAAUCGCGAAUCAGCAUGUCGCG
Molecule: ribosomal RNA, 1174 nt
Filed under: 'Lycopersicon esculentum' phytoplasma
Lineage: Bacteria; Bacillati; Mycoplasmatota; Mollicutes; Acholeplasmatales; Acholeplasmataceae
Description: bacterial SSU rRNA
Rfam family: Bacterial small subunit ribosomal RNA
Source: RNAcentral